Molecule: ribosomal RNA, 488 nt
Filed under: uncultured bacterium
Lineage: Bacteria
Description: bacterial SSU rRNA
Rfam family: Bacterial small subunit ribosomal RNA
Source: RNAcentral
GAUCAUGGCUCAGGACGAACGCUGGCGGCACGCCUAACACAUGCAAGUCGAACGGUGUAUUGGAGCUUGCUCUGAUAACAUAGUGGCGGACGGGUGAGUAACACGUGAGCAACCUGCCUCUGAGAGAGGGAUAGCUUCUGGAAACGGAUGGUAAUACCUCAUAACAUAACGAAACCGCAUGAUUUUGUUAUCAAAGAUUUAUCACUCAGGGAUGGGCUCGCGUCUGAUUAGGUAGUUGGUGAGGUAACGGCUCACCAAGCCGACGAUCAGUAGCCGGACUGAGAGGUUGAACGGCCACAUUGGGACUGAGAUACGGCCCAGACUCCUACGGGAGGCAGCAGUGAGGGAUAUUGCACAAUGGAGGAAACUCUGAAUGCAGCGAUGCCGCGUGGAGGAAGAAGGUUUUCGGAUUGUAAACUCCUGUUUCGAGGGACGAUAAUGACGGUACCUCGGGAGGAAGCUCCGGCUAACUACGUGCCAGCCGCUGC